Molecule: transfer RNA, 73 nt
Filed under: Cordylochernes scorpioides
Lineage: Eukaryota; Metazoa; Arthropoda; Arachnida; Pseudoscorpiones; Chernetidae
Description: tRNA-Thr
Rfam family: tRNA
About the family: Transfer RNA (tRNA) molecules are approximately 80 nucleotides in length.
Source: RNAcentral
UCCAGGGUAGCUUAGUGGACAUGUCAUCUGCCCGGUAAGCGGAACAUUGUGGGUUCGAUUCCCAUCCCUGGAC